This 1078-nucleotide long non-coding RNA is filed under the name Homo sapiens (human). Its description in RNAcentral is "HSALNT0134623". Lineage: Eukaryota; Metazoa; Chordata; Mammalia; Primates; Hominidae. The record is from RNAcentral.
GGUCACUGGUUCACUGCUGAAUAGCCUUGGUCAGUUUUGGCUCUCUCCUAUUUUAGGGGGAAAAAUAUUUUUGUUUCUUUUUUUUAAAAAAUAAAAUGUUCGCACAAUGGGAGAAAAUUGCUUUAAGUGUUACACCUUAGCCAACAGAGCCCAAACUCCGUGUUUCCGUUCUUUCUCUUUCGGUUUCUGCUGAGGGCUGGUGACACACUGGCCUCUUGUCAGUGGCUGCCGGCAGGGCCAGGAACAGAGUAGAACCUGCAGCACAGCUCAGUCCAGAAAGCGCUGGCAGGCCUUCUUCCACCGGCAGGCCGUGCACCACUGGUCCCGGUGCUCGAUGCCAUACACCUUGCGGCACUUCUUAGCCUCCCCUCGGGCUUUCCUGCAGAAAGAGAGGAAUGCAAAUCGAGCCCCACACAGGUGGUGGGCCCAGGAGAGUGGCCAAGUGGGGCUGGGAGAACAAGCAGAGGCCAAAGGGGCAGCUCCCGGCAAAAGUCACCAGGACCAGGGGCCAGAGGCUCUGAGGACCAAACAGUCAUCCCAUCUGGUGCAUCCGCCAUCUGGGCUCCUCUCUGGGGACUAACCCUGGUGACUUCAUCUGGGUGGGGUCGGAGUCCACGCCACUGGAGACAGGGCACAGAAACCAGAAGGCAGGGGACGACAGCGGACAUCUCACCUGGCACCACUCUGGGCCCGGGGUGGAGAAGUGACGAUCAGAUGAGAUUUCAUCGCAGGUGCUGGCUGCUGGGGCUCGCUGAAGCUUAGCGACCGGCUCCGGACCUGGGCGUGGGGAGAGGGGCUGUGAGCACAGGGACAUUCAGGAAAGGUGAGGGAGCUAUCCUAAAAGACAGGCAGCCACCCGUCCCCAGCUCCUGGUGCAGAAGGCCUCGCACCUUCUCAGGGAGAACACUCCAGCCGAGGGGAGCUCUUGGCAGGAGAGUGAGGAAGGAGCAGGCCUUCAUGCCACACUCAGGACCCAGCCAAGGACAAGGACAGGGGAGCCACUGGACCUGGCCCCCUCUGAGGCUCUCCUGCAGGGGACUUAGACGGAGCCGCUAUGCCUGGAAGCCUCACACUGCCU